GACGAACGCUGGCGGCGUGCCUAACACAUGCAAGUCGAACGGAACUCGGGACUUCGGUUCUGAGUUUAGUGGCGAACGGGUGAGUAACGCGUGAGGAACCUGCCUUUCAGUGGGGGACAACAGUUGGAAACGACUGCUAAUACCGCAUAAUGUAUCGAAGGGGCAUCCCUUUGAUACCAAAGCUUUAUGUGCUGAAAGAUGGCCUCGCGUCUGAUUAGAUAGUUGGUGAGGUAACGGCUCACCAAGUCUGCGAUCAGUAGCCGGUCUGAGAGGAUGAACGGCCACAUUGGGACUGAGAUACGGCCCAG
RNAcentral lists this ribosomal RNA (308 nucleotides) under uncultured bacterium. Its description in RNAcentral is "bacterial SSU rRNA". It matches the Rfam family "Bacterial small subunit ribosomal RNA", at positions 28 to 334 of the family's 1533-position model. The record is from RNAcentral.